GUGCUCACUUUGGCAGCACAAAUACUAAAACUGGAACAAUACAGAGAAGAUUAGCAUGGCCCCUGCGCAAGGGUGAACCAUGCACUAAACUAAAUUCGAAAUGGAU
This 106-nucleotide small nuclear RNA is filed under the name Chinchilla lanigera (long-tailed chinchilla). The record is from RNAcentral. Lineage: Eukaryota; Metazoa; Chordata; Mammalia; Rodentia; Chinchillidae.